CGGGUGAGUAAUGCGUGACCAACCUGCCCCAUGCUCCAGAAUAGCUCUUGGAAACGGGUGGUAAUGCUGGAUGCUCCAACUUGACGCAUGUCUUGUUGGGAAAGUGUUUAGUGGCAUGGGAUGGGGUCGCGUCCUAUCAGCUUGUAGGCGGGGUAAUGGCCCACCUAGGCUUCGACGGGUAGCCGGCCUGAGAGGGCGGACGGCCACAUUGGGACUGAGAUACGGCCCAGACUCCUACGGAGGCAGCAGC
This 250-nucleotide ribosomal RNA is filed under the name uncultured Gardnerella sp. RNAcentral's name for it is "partial 16S ribosomal RNA". It matches the Rfam family "Bacterial small subunit ribosomal RNA", at positions 103 to 355 of the family's 1533-position model. Lineage: Bacteria; Bacillati; Actinomycetota; Actinomycetes; Bifidobacteriales; Bifidobacteriaceae. The record is from RNAcentral.